AACCUCCGCAAUGUGAGAAAUCGCGACGGGGGGAUCCCAAGUGCCAUUCUUAACGGGAUGGCUUUUCAUUAGUGUAAAGAGCUUUUGGAAUAAGGGCUGGGCAAGACCGGUGCCAGCCGCCGCGGUAACACCGGCAGCUCUAGUGGUAGCAGUUUUUAUUGGGCCUAAAGCGUCCGUAGCCGGUUUAAUAAGUCUCUGGUGAAAUCCUGUAGCUUAACUGUGGGAAUUGCUGGAGAUACUAUUAGACUUGAGACCGGGAGAGGUUAGAGGUACUCCCAGGGUAGAGGUGAAAUUCUGUAAUCCUGGGAGGACCGCCUGUUGCGAAGGCGUCUAACUGGAACGGUUCUGACGGUGAGGGACGAAAGUUAGGGGCGCGAACCGGAUUUAGAUACCCGGGUAGUCCUAACUGUAAACGAUGCGGACUUGGUGUUGGGGUGGCUUUGAGCUGUCUCAGUGCCGAAGGGAAGCUGUUAAGUCCGCCGCCUGGGAAGUACGGUCGCAAGACUGAAACUUAAAGGAAGU
Molecule: ribosomal RNA, 522 nt
Filed under: uncultured bacterium
Lineage: Bacteria
Description: bacterial SSU rRNA
Rfam family: Archaeal small subunit ribosomal RNA
Source: RNAcentral